CCAGACUCCUACGGGAGGCAGCAGUGGGGAAUAUUGGGCAAUGGACGCAAGUCUGACCCAGCAACGCCGCGUGAAGGAAGAAGGCUUUCGGGUUGUAAACUUCUUUUAAGGGGGAAGAGCAGAAGACGGUACCCCUUGAAUAAGCCACGGCUAACUACGUGCCAGCAGCCGCGGUAAUACGUAGGGGGCGAGCGUUGUCCGGAAUCACUGGGCGUAAAGGGCGCGUAGGCGGUAAUAUAAGUCAGAUGUGAAAGGUGGGGGCUCAACCCCUAGAGUGCAACUGAUACUGUAUAACUUGAGUGUGAGAGAGGGAAGCGGAAUUCCUAGUGUAGCGGUGAAAUGCGUAGAUAUUAGGAGGAACACCAGUGGCGAAGGCGGUCUGCUGGACAGCAACUGACGCUGAGGCGCGAAAGCGUGGGGAGCAAACAGGAUUAGAUACCCUCGUAU
RNAcentral lists this ribosomal RNA (447 nucleotides) under uncultured bacterium. Its description in RNAcentral is "bacterial SSU rRNA". It matches the Rfam family "Bacterial small subunit ribosomal RNA", at positions 331 to 793 of the family's 1533-position model. The record is from RNAcentral.